Long non-coding RNA from Solanum dulcamara, 1061 nucleotides. RefSeq lists it as uncharacterized. NCBI's taxonomy places the organism in Eukaryota, Viridiplantae, Streptophyta, Magnoliopsida, Solanales, Solanaceae. The transcript has 3 exons. The record is from RefSeq and is a predicted model, not a curated record.
UAUAAUAUUUAUGUAAUUCCUUAAAAUUAGAUAAGUACACGCGCAACGCGCGUGCUCAGAGACUAGUAUAUUACAUAAAUACGUUUGUAUGAAGUAGGCGUUACAUCAAUAAAGUUGUCAACAUUUACAGAAAUGAUCAACACCCAUUUCUCAUUAAAGUUAGCAUCAGUAUUCCACAAAACCAACUAAGAUGUAAUGUAUAUGUAUAUAAAGUUUGUAUCAAUUGCUACACAAGGUGUUGUUAAACUUUUAGAUUUACCUUUGUCGUGGUGGUUGAAUGAAAAGCUAUUUUUCUAUGGUUUUAGUGAAGUGUGAAUAUUUUGAUUGUGGCAGGGAGUGUACUGGGUGGUGGAGGAAGUGUGCCAUUUCCAAAGGCUACUGCUGCAGACUGGGUGAAGAUGGUAAAUGAGAUUCAUAAGGGUUCACUUUCAAUACGCCUUGGUAUUCCCAUGAUUUAUGGAAUUGAUAUAGUCCAUGGGCACAACAAUGUCUACAAAGCAACGAUGUUUCCACAAGAUGAUGGCCUUGGAGUCACAGGAGACCCACAACUUGUGAGCGGAUUGGGGCUGCGACUACCCUUUGAGGGCAGAACCACAGGAAUCCCUUACACUUUUGCACGGUGCAUCGCAGUGAGUACCAUCACAUCAUAUGCAAUCUAUAUAUUCUUUAUUUGAUAUCUUUCAUCAUAGGUCUGUGUGUUCGUCUGCAGUAAAACACUUUGAACAUAUUUUCAAUCUUAAACCUCCUAUUAUGGAUCUCACAAUUCUGGAUUGCAUUCCUACUUGUAUUUGUUAUGAGGAUAAUACAAGUAUGAUCAGGUGUCCUAAUGAAGAGGAGAUUUAAGGGGUUUGUGUUUGAUAUGAGCUCUGAUAGUGCUGCUGGUCCUGAUGGUUUUUCUGGUGGAGGAUCCCGCUAACUUCUCUGACCUAAGGCAUUAGCCUUGGCAACUUCUCUAGCAAGAUCAUCACCAAGAUUCUCUCCAAAGCUUAUCCUAAUCUUAAGCUAGACUAUCCAUGGGUCCAAAUUUGUGACAUUGUGGUGAGACUUAGGCCAAACACCAU